GAGGGUAUCGCUCAGUGGUAGAGCGUGUGCUUGGUGUGCACAAGGUCCUGAAUUCAAUCCCCAGUACCUCCA
RNAcentral lists this transfer RNA (72 nucleotides) under Camelus dromedarius (Arabian camel). It matches the Rfam family "tRNA". From Rfam's summary of the family: Transfer RNA (tRNA) molecules are approximately 80 nucleotides in length. Their secondary structure includes four short double-helical elements and three loops (D, anti-codon, and T loops). Further hydrogen bonds mediate the characteristic L-shaped molecular structure. tRNAs have two regions of fundamental functional importance: the anti-codon, which is responsible for specific mRNA codon recognition, and the 3' end, to which the tRNAs corresponding amino acid is attached (by aminoacyl-tRNA synthetases). tRNAs cope with the degeneracy of the genetic code in two manners: having more than one tRNA (with a specific anti-codon) for a particular amino acid; and 'wobble' base-pairing, i.e. permitting non-standard base-pairing at the 3rd anti-codon position. Lineage: Eukaryota; Metazoa; Chordata; Mammalia; Artiodactyla; Camelidae. The record is from Rfam by way of RNAcentral. RNAcentral also lists the same sequence under 1 other name.